RNAcentral lists this ribosomal RNA (445 nucleotides) under uncultured bacterium. RNAcentral describes it as "SSU rRNA". It matches the Rfam family "Bacterial small subunit ribosomal RNA", at positions 26 to 518 of the family's 1533-position model. The record is from RNAcentral.
AGAGCGAACGCUGGCGGCAGGCUUAACACAUGCAAGUCGAGCGGGCGUAGCAAUACGUCAGCGGCAGACGGGUGAGUAACGCGUGGGAACGUACCUUUUGGUUCGGAACAACACAGGGAAACUUGUGCUAAUACCGGAUAAGCCCUUACGGGGAAAGAUUUAUCGCCGAAAGAUCGGCCCGCGUCUGAUUAGCUAGUUGGUGAGGUAACGGCUCACCAAGGCGACGAUCAGUAGCUGGUCUGAGAGGAUGAUCAGCCACAUUGGGACUGAGACAUGGCCCAAACUCCUACGGGAGGCAGCAGUGGGAAUAUUGGACAAUGGGCGCAAGCCUGAUCCAGCCAUGCCGCGUGAGUGAUGAAGGCCCUAGGGUUGUAAAGCUCUUUGUGCGGGAAGAUAAUGACGGUACCGCAAGAAUAAGCCCGGCUAACUUCGUGCCAGCAGCCGC